RNAcentral lists this ribosomal RNA (465 nucleotides) under uncultured bacterium. Its description in RNAcentral is "partial 16S ribosomal RNA". It matches the Rfam family "Bacterial small subunit ribosomal RNA", at positions 28 to 507 of the family's 1533-position model. The record is from RNAcentral.
GACGAACGCUGGCGGCGUGCUUAACACAUGCAAGUCGAACGGAAAGGCCCUGCUUGCAGGGUACUCGAGUGGCGAACGGGUGAGUAACACGUGGGUGAUCUGCCCUGCACUUCGGGAUAAGCCUGGGAAACUGGGUCUAAUACCGGAUAGGAGCCAUUUUUAGUGUGAUGGUUGGAAAGUUUUUUCGGUGUAGGAUGAGCUCGCGGCCUAUCAGCUUGUUGGUGGGGUAAUGGCCUACCAAGGCGGCGGCGGGUAGCCGGCCUGAGAGGGUGGACGGCCACAUUGGGACUGAGAUAUGGCCCAGGCUCCGACGGGAGGCAGCAGUGGGGAAUAUUGCACAAUGGGCGCAAGCCUGAUGCAGAGACGCCGCGUGGGGGAUGACGGCCUUCGGGUUGUAAACUCCUUUCGCUAGGGACGAAGCUUUUUGUGACGGUACCUAGAUAAGAAGCACCGGCUAACUACGUG